AGCGAACGCUGGCGGCAGGCUUAACACAUGCAAGUCGAGCGGGCAUCCUUGUGGUGUCAGCGGCAGACGGGUGAGUAACGCGUGGGAACGUGCCCUUCGGUUCGGAAUAACUCAGGGAAACUUGAGCUAAUACCGGAUACGCCCUUUUGGGGAAAGGUUUACUGCCGAAGGAUCGGCCCGCGUCUGAUUAGCUAGUUGGUGAGGUUAUGGCUCACCAAGGCGACGAUCAGUAGCUGGUCUGAGAGGAUGAUCAGCCACACUGGGACUGAGACACGGCCCAGACUCCUACGGGAGGCAGCAGUGGGGAAUAUUGGACAAUGGGGACAACCCUGAUCCAGCCAUGCCGCGUGAGUGAUGACGGCCUUAGGGUUGUAAAGCUCUUUUCUCCGGGACGAUAAUGACGGUACCGGAGGAAUAAGCCCCGGCUAACUUCGUG
Molecule: ribosomal RNA, 436 nt
Filed under: uncultured bacterium
Lineage: Bacteria
Description: partial 16S ribosomal RNA
Rfam family: Bacterial small subunit ribosomal RNA
Source: RNAcentral